RNAcentral lists this ribosomal RNA (497 nucleotides) under uncultured bacterium. RNAcentral describes it as "partial 16S ribosomal RNA". It matches the Rfam family "Bacterial small subunit ribosomal RNA", at positions 28 to 507 of the family's 1533-position model. The record is from RNAcentral.
GAUGAACGCUGGCGGCGUGCCUAAUACAUGCAAGUCGAGCGAACAGACGAGGAGCUUGCUCCUCUGACGUUAGCGGCGGACGGGUGAGUAACACGUGGAUAACCUACCUAUAAGACUGGGAUAACUUCGGGAAACCGGAGCUAAUACCGGAUAAUAUAUUGAACCGCAUGGUUCAAUAGUGAAAGACGGUUUUGCUGUCACUUAUAGAUGGAUCCGCGCCGCAUUAGCUAGUUGGUAAGUUAACGGCUUACCAAGGCAACGAUGCGUAGCCGACCUGAGAGGGUGAUCGGCCACACUGGAACUGAGACACGGUCCAGACUCCUACGGGAGGCAGCAGUAGGGAAUCUUCCGCAAUGGGCGAAAGCUUGACGGAGCAACGCCGCGUGAGUGAUGAAGGUCUUCGGAUCGUAAAACUCUGUUAUUAGGGAAGAACAAAUGUGUAAGUAACUAUGCACGUCUUGACGGUACCUAAUCAGAAAGCCACGGCUAACUACGUG